This is a long non-coding RNA of Serinus canaria (Common canary), 988 nucleotides long. RefSeq lists it as uncharacterized. NCBI's taxonomy places the organism in Eukaryota, Metazoa, Chordata, Aves, Passeriformes, Fringillidae. The record is from RefSeq and is a predicted model, not a curated record. The transcript is spliced from 3 exons.
GGCAUCCAGAGGGGUCUGGGGGCACCCAGAGGGGUCUGGGGGGGCACCCAGAGGGGGCUGGGGUCCCAGGGCUGUUUCAGGGUAUUUUUGGGCCAUUUCAGGUUGGUUUUGGGCUGUUAUUUUUGGGCCGUUACUUUCAGGGACUCCCCAGGUAAUUUCGGGGCUGUUUGUGCCGGUUUUGGGGUGGUUUUGGGGUGGUUUUGGGCUGUUUCUGGGGUUUUUUUGGAUCCCUGGACUGUUUCAGGUGUUCUUGGGGCUGUUUCAGGUUAUUUCAGGGCUUUUUCAGGUAAUUUGGGGCCGUUUGUGCCAUUUUUGGGGUGUUUCGGGGCAGUUCCAGGUGUUUUGGGGGCUGUUCCAGGUGGUUUUGGGGCCGUUUCUGGUGUUUUUGGGGCUGUUUCAGGGGUUCUUGGGGCCGUUUGUGCCGUUUUUGGGGCUGUUCCCGGUGUUUUAGGGCUGUUUUUGGGGCCGUUUGUGCCAUUUUUGGGGCUGUUCCCGGUGUUUUAGGACUGUUCCCGGUGUUUUUGGGGCCAUUUGUGCCGGUUUUGGGGCAGUUCCAGGUGGUUUUGGGGCCGUUUGUGCCGGUUUUGGGGCAGUUCCAGGUGUUUUUGGGGCAGUUCCAGGUGUUUUUGGGGUGUUUUUGGGGUGUUUUUGGGGUGUUUUUGGGGUGUUUUUGGGGUGUUUUUGGGGCAGUUCCAGGGGUUUUUGGGGCCGUUCCGGGUGUUUUUGGGGCCAUUCCAGGUGUUUUUGGGGUGUUUUUGGGGCUGUUCCAGGGGUUUUUGGGGCAGUUCCAGGUGGUUUUGGGGUGUUUUUGGGGCAGUUCCAGGGGUUUUGGGGCAGUUCCAGCGGUUUUUGGGGCAGUUCCAGGUGUUUUGGGGGUGUUUUUGGGCCCGUUCCAGGGGUUUUUGGGUCCCUCACCGCUGCAGCUCCUGGCCGUCCUCCAGCAGCGCCUCCAGGUGCGCGAAGCCGAAGGCGCGGUAGAAGCAAUUCC